This is a long non-coding RNA of Cuculus canorus (common cuckoo), 11250 nucleotides long. RefSeq lists it as uncharacterized. The transcript is spliced from 4 exons. NCBI's taxonomy places the organism in Eukaryota, Metazoa, Chordata, Aves, Cuculiformes, Cuculidae. The record is from RefSeq and is a predicted model, not a curated record.
GUUUUCUUCUUCUCCUGGGAUGUUGAUAUUGGCCUAUGUGACCGUUCUGCAGCUUUUUCUGCCUGGGGAGGAUGGGAAGGAAUGGUUCCAGCGAGGCAGCUAGAUAUAGACUAUGAAGGUGGUGAUUUGCAGACCUCUGUAAGAGCCUCUUUGUGUUUGAACCUUGUGUUCUCCUGUACUCUCUUCAAAUGCCUCCUGGAGGUCCAUCAGCUCUUUUAGUGUGGUGUUCAGAGAUGUCCCAGUUGAGAUUUACACUCAUUUGUUGGCUCUGUUGUGAGCUAUUGAAGAGGGGGCUGGAGGACCUUUGCCCUCUUGGAGGAAUCCAAGGCAUGCUCUGGAAAGCUGCUGGGAACAGAUCAAGUUUAGCUGGUUGGUAGUUUCUGGUGUGACCCAGAUGAGAAGGCUGGUGGAGCCAGGGGGUAGUCCUGCCAUCACUGGAGUCAGUAAUUCAGCUUCAGCUGAGCCAGGAUUUGAUCCUGCUUGUUCAGUUACUGAUUAAGUUGAGGACAGCCACUUAGAAAACAAGUAGGGGUUCUUGAAAGGGAAGAUCUUCUGCCUGGCCUCCCUGGCCAGCUGGAUGCAGGGUCACAACUGGGUUGGCUCAUGAGUGGCUACUUCACCCAGGAGCAGUUCUUCUAGCUCUUCAGCUGGGACUGACCACAAGUGCUUGGUUUCACCAUUUUGGCUCUUGCAGUUUUUAAACCGAGUCCUGACUCCCUUCGCUUGCUGAUGAAGGGGCCAGCCUUUGGGUAAUGAUCCAUCUGGUUGCCCAAAGAUGUCAUUUGUUUAAUUGCCUGGUUCACGAAGAAAGGGUGAUCUCAGUUUGCUCCUUGUGACUCUGUUCUGAGCCAGUGCCGGAUGUUUUGGGACUGUUCUCCCCUUUUGUGAAGUGACCUUUGAUGAAUACGUGCCUCAGCCCUCCUGCUCUACACACUGAAGCAUCUCAAGGGUCUCCAUCCUCAGUGUGAGAUGAGACACUCUCCCAGCUUCUCCUGGAGGUGUCUGGCCCGUGUUUUGAAAGGAAGGAGAACUGGGGCUGGGUGUUUGGGGGUGUUAGCCCCCAAAACCUGCAGUGGCACUGCACACAGAACAUGCAUGGCUUGACCUCGAUAGGAAUCUGCCUGGAUAGGGAGAAACCUAGGGUUGGAGGGAGAAUUUUGAGGCAAAAAUCCGUAUUCUGUGACUCCAGAAUGAGCACCAGAGCUAUAGCCCUUUAUUAUUGAGUAGGAAGUCUGGGCUCUCAGUCUUAGCCUCUCCUAAGCCUUCCCUCACCGCUCCUUAUCUCCCAUCCCUGGAGAGAUGGUGCAAGACUGCUGCAUGUACUGUGGUUCAGAGGGAUGGCUUAGGCUUUACCUCAGCCAAAAAGGAAAAAAAAUCUGUUUUUCCCCUUUUUCCUCUCCAUCCUGGCCUGCCCGCUGGCUGGUACAGCCAGUCUAUUUUGCUUUCAUAAGCCGCAUUAUGUAAGCCGUGUCUUGAGUGGGGAUGCAGUGCCAACUUGGACUCUGCAGCGGGAAGGAGCCGCAUUCCUCUGCCACCGGGUUUAAUCCUUGCCUCCAGCCACAGUUGGUUUGUUGGGAGGAAUCUGAGGGCUGUGCCGAGGUUUCUAAUCCCUCGACCCAGGUGGAGCCAGCUCGUUUGUGCAGGAGCCCUGCUUUCCUUUGUCAACAGGUUCUGCCCAAGACUCCUCUUAGCAAGUCCUUUCCUUGGCUGCUAGGAGGGUUGGCCCAGGCAUGCACACCACACAUUGGCACCUUCUUCUCCUCUCUUCGUUUGUUGAACUCUCUGGCUUAGGUUACCCUUCCUCAGAAAGGCUGGUGGGGGAGGAAAAAGGAAGACUUCUGUAAUCCUAGCCCCCCAAAACAGUGGUAAGGUGAGUUGCCAGGCUGGCAAGGAAAGCAGGUAGGCUGCAGAGCCUGAGGUGCCAACAGCUUCUUCAUCUGUCCCACCACUGACUGCCCUGCCACAUCUGCAGUAUGUGACCCUUGUCCCACCAAGGACCUCGGGGAACCCUGGAGAUCCUGCACUUGGGGGUCCUGUGGCACCAGCCCGGUUGGGUAUGGGGUGCAGGACAGCAGUGGACUCCGGGCAGGCUGUUUGUUGGUUCCCCAGCAGUCUGAGCAAGCUGCCUUCAGCCCUUGUGCUCAGGACAGUUGAGCUUCAGGACCCCAUUUGGCUGAGCGUGAGCUGCGCUGGUUCAGAAGGAACCUAUAUUCAGGUUUUAGACAGAGCUGAUAGCAGCAGUGCCUUGCCGUGUGUGGGUGGAUGAGGCACCACGCUCCACAGCUUUUGCUAGCAGCUUUCCCCAGUGCCAAGUAUGCUGUUAAGGUGAGAAUUAUUAAUCAGAUACAGAUUUGGGCUACUUUUCCUCACCACAAGGCCAGGUGGCUCAAGCUCACGCCUAUUUGGGAUUGUUUAGGGAUUGUGAGUAAUGGUUGGACUCGGUGAUCCAGUGGGUCCUUUCCAACCUACUGAUUCUAUGAUUCUACAGCUCAUGGAGAUGCUUCUGUCCUGAGCCAAAGCUUGGCCAAAAUGCCUAAAAUACUGUGAACGGGAUCAUUCUCCCUUACUGAGCUGAAUCUGUAGGAUGCUGGGAAGCACACCGGCCAGCAGGUUUUUGGUAAAGUGCUAGGAUCAACAUUUGCUUCAACCACAAAGAACAACUUCCUCAGCGCCUCCCUGUGUUGAGGGGAUCCUGAGCAAGCCACCAAGUUCGAGGUUGGAACAGUCAUAUCCAGGGCUAUGUUGUCCGGAUGCCGUUUCCAUUUAGGAAGCUGCCUGGGAACAGCUGGGCUUAAAGAUGGGCUUAGCCUGUCUCUGAGACUUGAAGGCCAGGGCUUCAGCUGCCUGAAUCACCGAAAACUAUGCGCUUGUUCUGAAAUACAGGAUAUUUUCAGACUAUUUUCCACUCAGACUGAGAACACAUGCAGGGUGAUUAACUGGCUCCAUUUUUUCCACCUCUCCUUGUGGCGGACUCUCCUGGCAAGUUCUCCAUCCGCUCUUUAAAAUGUUUUCACUGCAACAUGGAUGCCUUCCCUUCUGGCAAAUAACCGUGCCAGUGAUCAGCGGGUGACACUGUCACCGUGGGCUCUAGACCUGUGAGGAAGCACUUCAUUAAGAGAGGAGACUGCUAUAGCGUGGAAGUAUUUUCUUUGUAAUCUCUCUAGGAUGGAGAAAGCUGCUCAUGAAGCUGCCUGGGGAAGGAAGUGGUCUCUGGCAGAGCUGUCCUCUGCACUACUUUGGAAAUGCCACCAAAGGAGGAGCCAGAGAUGCUCUGUGGAUGGUGGUUUGGGACCAAAGAGCAUCUUAAAGAUUUGUGUCGUGCCAGCAGUCUGUGCCGUGAUCGUGUCCUGGUCAGAGUGAGGUGUUUCAGCUGGGUCAUUUGAUCUCUGUUUACGUGGGGAGGGAAAAGAAUUGGCAGGAGUGCUAUCUUGCUUUCCAAGUGCGAGUUGUAGAGCUUAUGCGUGCUCCUCACACAAGGUUCUGCACACGGGGUAGGUUAUAGUUCAGGAACAUCAAGGGAUAAAGGGGCAGCAUUCCAGACCCUACAGAACGUGUCUGCCUGGCUUUGACAGGCAACUGAGAGCAGAAGGGAUUGAAUGCUGCCUGAACAAUGUACUGCAAUGCCCCUGUGUACAUGGAGUUCAUCUUUGGCAUAGCAGGAGCGAAGUUCUCUGAAUCAUUGCCGUGAGCCACCCACGGUGUCUCCAAAGCACCCAGGAAGGGGUAGGCCAUGCAAUUUGCACCUGCUAAAGGGUAAACUCGAGGGUACGCACUUCCUCUUCAAACGAAAGAAAACCCUUCUUUCUGUUGCAUCUUGCAAAGAGGCAGCUUGGACUUACCGGGGAAGCUUCCACUGGAGAAGGUCAUGAAGCUUGUAAGAGGCAAACUUCUGCUGGAAGAUCUGGUCUUGGUAAAACAGAAACCUCUGUGCAAAGUCUGAGGUGGGGGAAAAGCAAUGAUGCCAUGUGAGUUCUGCAGAGCGCCUGGAAGAUGAGAGUGAAUGGAUUUCUAACAAGCUAUAGCUGAUCACUCCCUGUGCGAGCAACGUGUGACCUCACUUCAUAGGACAUCUUGAGUGGGUGCUAGUGACAGCAAGCCCAAAGAGCUCUGACACAGGAAUCUCCUUCCUCUCUCCAACCAGUGACAACUGCUCACAUGAAAUCUAAAGCAAAUGCUGCAAUACUAGUCUUUUUGUUGUAAAUAGCAUCGGGCUUUUUUUCUGUGCUCUAUUGAAGCAGCAGCUGUAUUUCAACCAGCUGGCAGGGCUCUGGGAGGAGAUCAAGUGUUCUUAGCAAAGUUGGGCUGAAUCUGUGGCUGGUGGAAAUGGGUGUAAUUCAGUUUGACCUCAGCACUGAGCUGCUUUAUACCAAAUUUGAACUGAGCUCCCAGACUGGAGCUUUGCGGGGCUUAGAAGGUAGGAGAAGCGUUCUCUGUAGAGGUGAAAUAGUCAUGCGUGUUGUUCGCGGUGUCUGUUGGAGCAGGAGGGCAAGGAGCUUGGCCAUGCAGUCCAGCAGAGGCUGCUGCCAGACAGGAUUUUACUUGCAUGGAGAGUAAAGUCUCCAAGCACUUGCUGUUGGAUAGUCCUCUUCUGAAGCAUGCAAAACCAGCAUGAGACUCUUCUGUGCAUCUGGAGCUGUGUAUGUGUGUAUUGCUACAUUCUGCCCAGGCAUGCCGCAAGACCACAGCGCCAGCUCUGCCAAAACGUUCAGUCCUUCUGGAAAGCUUCCACAGCACCGUGUGCUUGUCCUGCAGGAUACUCCGUGCCAGGUACCACAAGGCAGGCGCCAGCCCUUCCUCUGGGCUCGGGAACAGCUUGUUUUGAAUGUCGGUGGCACGGAAAGUAGAGAAAGCAGGAGCAGAUGUGCCUGUGGGCAAUGCUGGCUCGUCUCCCUGGCAGGGGAAGGAGUCAUUCCUCUGGCACCGCUGCCUGCAGGCGCUUGCCCCUGGGAUGCUGACCCCCAAGACAGGCGGGACCCUCCCAUAUCAGCACUGCCUCGUGUUCUCAGCCAGACCCCUGUCUUCUGCACAGAAGGUCUUGAACAGCAAAGCUGCUCUGUGUGCUGGCUUCAUUAAACUGGUGUCUCCUCUUGAUGCUCAGCUCAGCCCUCAACACCCUGCUCUAUCUAUCCACUAAUAGGUAGCUCAUCAUGGAAGUGGGUUGAGAAGGACAUGGCGACCGGAGAACACUGGGAGGAGUUGGAGGGAGAGGAACAUACUCGGAUAGGAGGGAGUGUUGCUGGGAUGUCAGUGAGGAUGCAGGAGACGCUGUCUGGCUGGGAGAAAUUCAAGCUGCUGCAGUUCCCAGGCUUUACAGAACUGAUGUAUCUGCCCACUUCAAGACCUUCUGUCCAGUGUCUCAUCUCACUGCAGUGGGACAUCAGGGAGAAGAUGCCCAGUGAAGUGUUAUCGCCGAGAGGCAAAUGGCAGCCCCGAGGCACCAUGCCAUCUCGCCAAGUUGGCUGGCCCAGAUAUGAAAGAAAAACGGAAGUGGGACCUACUGACCCAACAAUUGCCACCCAAAACCUGCCGGUAGGAAGAAGACAUGUUGGUUGAGCUACAGAAACAGCCUGAAGUGUGUCCUAGAGCAUACCUUCAGGUGCCAUGCAGGGAGGAUUUCCACCCUGAGUUUUCAGGUAGCAGAGUGUGGUGUCAGAGGGAUGCACUGUGUCCAUGCAGGGCCCAGGGCUGGUGGAAAAGACCUUCCUACUCCACCUCUUCCUCCAUCCCUGUCUGCUAGAAGGCAUUGCAGCAUUGUCUGCUGUACCAAGCCCAGUACCCUGGGUCUGGACACUGCCGUACUUGCACCUGUGUUUGCAAGUGAUGCUCAGCGUUUGUGACUGACUCACACCCCGAUUUCCUGCAUGGCUAAAAGGUUCAUGUAUCACUUGGUGAGUCUGUACUCCAGGACUUUAUUCAUUCCAGAGUUGCUGGCUGGAUUUCUGGCAUUACCUAAGCAGCCUGAUGGCAUAGGGUGGAGGAAACUUGGGAUUUAACCAUCCUAUUAGAGGUCUGAAGACCUCCAGCAUCUCCGGUAGGGCCACCAUCUCUGCUUUAAAUUACGAGGCAGCAGAAGUUAAAUAGAGUUAAGAGAAGAGGAAGAAGAAUGAAAAAAGGGAUGGGGCCAGCCCUGUGCUGGAGACAGGAAGUAUGUGGCUGGAGAAGAAGAGUGAGAAAGGGGGUGGCUGCUCCCUGCCAGCGCUUGGGUAAUAUCAGCAGUGGUCACGUGUGGAGAUCUGCUUUUGGCAUAGCCUGCAUGUUUGUACGGCUUGGGGAGGGGUGUGAAAUCAGCUUCCCACUUCCAGGAAUCCUCCCAGCACAGGAUAUGCUGCAGGGAGCUGGUAAACACGAUACAACCGCUGGCCUGUAACUCAAUCGGCUCCCUGCUUUAGCUGCUCCCCGCCUAGGGACCUCGCUAGGUUCUUGGAGUGAUAGCGUGGGACAGUGUGUACCAGGGCACAGGGCAUUGCCAGCGGGGUUCGGGAGUGACGGGAAGGAGAGGGGCUUGCACCAAGGGUCUGGGGACAGGGCAACUUCUCCAGCUUUGGAUAUGCCUUGGGUGCAGCCUGGGUUCAGCUGCUGCUUGCAAACCCUCUUUGGCCUCAGCUGCAGGCUCCCAAAGUCAGAAAUAGCUACUUGGCUGAGGAGCAAACAUCUCCCUGGACCUCCCCUUCCCCACCUCCCUGUCCCGGCAGUAGUGGGAGCCGUGGGUAACAGCCUGCGCCCAUUCACAGAUAGCACAGGCUCCCCAGCUGCCAGCGUGCCUCGAGCUGCUCCUAAUCUGCUUGCUCGCAAAAAUACAUCUCGCUUGGGCUUUUUGCCACCUUUCCUCCCUCCCCUGCCUUUUGGGAGAACUUGUUUAUUGCUGGGCGCAGGGAAACGUGACCUCUGCUGCCUGCUAUCCCCUUCAGCUCCCUGUCCCUGCGAGUGACAGUGGGCUGGCGUGGCGGCUGGGGACACGGGAGGGGACACCCGCUGCCGGGCAGGGGCGAAGGCAGGGGCACGGAGCCUGGGUCCUGAUAUCACUGUCCCCAGCGGGGAGGGGAUUUCACAAUCACAAGUUAUAUUAUUUGGACCAGCAUCAGGCUUGUGGAUGGUUUCUGCUAACAACCUUGAUGCAGGGGCUGAGGGUUCAUGAGCCCGAGCGUGAGACCUGGGAGGCAGGAAUGGGAGUGAAUUAGUUAAUAUGGAGCAUAAGAGCCGUGCAGGUGAGAAUGGGGAAGAAAACCUCCUGCUGCUGCCUCAGGGUUUGUCUGAAGUGGCAGCGGAAGGGAUGUCUGGCGACAAGGAUACCAUGAGGGUGAGAUGCUCUGGGUGGGUGGAGAUGGGCUCCUCACUGCACUGGGGAUCACUGUGCCCCUUGUGCCCAGCCUGCAGCAGACAGCGUUGGAUGAGAGGUGCAACAGAGUGGUUAGAGCGAUGGGAGAGCCCAGGGGUGAUAGGAAGAGCUUGGCUGGUCUGGCUUAGCAAAGCAGGGAGCGUGAGGGGGACAAAGAGCCUGCCCGUCCUGACCCCAUGCCCAUAUCUUCAGCAAAUUUGCCCUGGUCCUUUUAUAUAAUAAAUAUAUUCUUUAGCUGAGACCAGGGAAGAAAAGGAUCUGGCCUUUUCUUUUUAGCCUUCAGCUUAAUUUCUUUCACAGAGGAGGACACAGCCAAGGGAGGCAGGUCCUGGCCAAGCAGCCCUCUGCGGGAAAUGGGGUGGAUUUUGUGCUGCCCGCUGGUUUAUUUGUAUUUUUAGAGCAUGCUGCAGGCACGAGGUCACCGAACUGAGUGAAAUUCCACCCUGGAGUGGCUCCCCGUCCCCAUCCUACUCCUCGAGGCUGGGCUAGAGUCAACAGCUGAGCUGGGGCUCAAGUGUCCCAGCCAUGGCGAUGCCUGGCUGAAGUGAGGGAUGAGGGGCAACUGGGUGGGUGGGUGGGUGAGCUCCAAGUGGAAGAGCUGGGGACCAGCAAGGUGGUGGGCAGAGGGCAACCCUUCUGUUGGUAUCACACCUAGAAGAGCCUCCCUGGGGGUGAGGGUCUUGCCGUGCCAUGCUGGAGACGCCAUCCCAAGGUGGUACAGGGUGCCAAGGACUCUCGGUUGAGGGGUAUUUGUCUGGUAGGACCAUGAGUCCCUUGCCCCGAGGGAGCUGGAGGUGUGCGGAUGCUGAGAUGAGACUGGGAUAAAACAGAGAGGGACAGGGAGCUCAAGUACGCCAAAGAGGAGGUCACUGUGUAGCGUGCUUGCUUGAUGGAGCGAUGAGUUGACAACACAGUGAAUCAAAAACUUGAGGAGUGGGAGGGGAAAUCUAGCAAAUGGGAGUACGUAGGGUCUUAAAAUGGAACAGCACAUUUCUUCAAGAACACACCUCAGGUCUCUUCAUCAUCUCCACCAAGUGAUGCAAGUGAAACAUCCGGCUAGGGCUUAGGCUCAACAGUGAGCGAGUCAGACAGGCGGGACUCCCACCUCUUGACUCACUGCUGGCAGCAAUGCUGGAUGCAGCCUCGGCACUGGGAAUUCCCGCUGCCCGCUUCGCUUGCAAGAGGCGAUGGAGUCACAGCCCCCAUGGGGUGGUUGCAAAGGAAAAUCGUCACUGUAUGAGAUAAACCUGAAAUAAAGAGACAAAAUGUCCCUUGACAUGCUGACCGCACUGGAAAGUGUAGCAAGAGUUGUUCCCAGAAAAAGCUGAAAGCAUCAGAUCCUUGCUUUAAGGUAAGCAAUUUGCAUAUCAAUUAGGACAAGAUGUGCUGAGAGUCCUUGUUUGCGAGCUGUUGCGCUGCUCUUUCAGAUGGUCUUCUAGGAGAUGUUUUCCCUGUUCGAGCUAUCUGAAUGCUUGGCAUCACCCAGUUUAGGUGGCCCGAGCACCAGAGGUGAUCACGUGUGCAGGGGACCAGCUGCUUCCACCCGGAGAUGGAUGGAAGGGGAGGCAGUGGAAUCAACAUUCAAAUCAUGGCUCAAACCUAAUAUGAAGUGAUGGGGAGCUCUGCAUGGGGCAGCUGAACUCCAGGCGAAGGAAUUGUGAAGCACUGUUGUUAUUGCUCCAGGGAAGAGUUUUCCCAUUGCUGCAUGGCUUGCCUUGUAGUAGCUUCACAAGAACCCUUAAGGAUGCGGUGAGGUGCGUGGCUGGACCAGGAUGGGACCAGAUGUUGUUAUUCACCUGCUGCAGAGCAAGUGAUGAGCCCUCCCUCCAGUGCUCUUGAAGAGAGGUGUGUGUAUGUGUGUGGUGCCCAGCCCUCCCCUACGGCUGCAAACCGUGGUGCUCUCGCUCCGAAGAAUCAACUGGACAGACUGCUUUUGAUGAGCUGGAAAAGAGGUUGAUCUCACUUGCCCAUGCACAGGAGAUGCACGUGUCACGGGCAUAUUCUUGCACCUAUUUUUAUCUGCUCCUUGGUGGAGAUGUCUUGGCGAGGUGGCUCGUGUUCCUGGAGAGCAUCCAAACAACCCGCCUGCUCAAGCCCUGGUGUUGGGGUGCCCGCUGUUGUGCAUUGCUGCUCUGGUUACCCAAGCUUCCAUUUGGGUACAAAACAUCAGCUAUGGGGUGAGUGAAGGAGGGGCUUUUGCAGCUUUUGGAGAAUACGACCCAGUUUUUGGUGGAAGGGCUUAUGGAUAAUGCAGUGUCAGAGAUUUUUCUGAGUGUAGCAACCCAAUACAAAUACCAUGGUACAAAAUCAAAGUGCUUUGUGGGAGGGAUACCCAUAUCCUGCAAGGCCAGUAGGGACACCGGCUCUGCUGGACGUAGGCAGCCAGCCUGGAGCAGAGCUGGAGUUCGCAGAGGGACGGGAUGAUGCAGAAUCACAUUCCCUGGGUACAGAAAGGGGCUAUUAACGGGGAGAAACGGGGGGAGCGAUGGAGCACAAUGGCUCUGAUUUGUUGGCAGUCAUGACCUGCAGUCCCUGGCAGCACCUCAAAGCAGCUGUGAAGUGCCAGUCGGUGGCGAUGCUUCGGCGCGUGAUGCGGGCGCCUGACCCUGGCAGAAGGCUGGGAUGUGGGCUGCCCAGUGGGGAGAGCACCCACCCGGCUUCUCCCGCCUGGGGCCCUGCAGAGGAAACCCAAGGAUGCUUGUGACAGGCUGAGUGCUUCAGGGACGUGGUGGCUUUGCUUUCCAGGGCUCUCCUUGAAUCCAUCUAUCCUGCUAGCCAUGCCUAAGUAAAUUUUACCACUUACAGGACAUAGGUUGCCUUUCUGUCCAAAGCCAGGCGAAUGCAAGCACUGCCGGGGACAAGAUGAUGUCAGGCUCCCAGUCCAGGGUGUCCAUGUGCAUACUGCAAGUGGGCACACACACACACAAAAAUACCUUCCUGUCGCAUCCUGAACAAGCUCACUAGAAGAUGUUUCUUUCCCCCACAUCCCAGUAGCACAGAGAAAAAACGUGACUGUGGGAAAAGUCAAGAAAAUUAUCAGGGAGUAGCAUUUUUAUGAGCGAGCUGCUUUAUGCCUGCACAGCCAGAUGCCUGAAUAAGUUAAUGCAGGCUUCAGGAAAUCAUUUGGGCUGCUGCAAUUUUUAAGCCUCUAAAAUAGUUUUCCUGCUCCCUGAGGAGCUGUGAAUUUUUAGGUCUGACAGCUUCCAGCACCCCACGGGUGAGCCAACAGCUGCUCAUCGCAGAGGAGCCCCCUGGGAGGCAGCGCUGGGGAGAAGUGGGGCUUAUGGGGCUCACGCUUCACGUGACGGUCGCGGUGAUUUUUGGAAGGAAAGUAAGUGUUUGGGGUGAGAAAGAGCCUGUUUAAGAAUAACAGCUUGCUCUGAAAACCUGCCAACAUCAAGCACCCGUUUUGUCUGGGUCCUUGCUUGAAUGUCACGGGUACCACCAUGCGACAGCGUGUCUGUGAUGGGCUCUGUUGCUUGUAUGUGUGCACACCUGGGUGCACUGCACUACCGCACUCUCACAGGAGCAUCACCCAGUGAACGGCUAGGAAAAACCCUUUUCCUUGCCCAAACUGCUUUACUCUAAUCCCUUUUUACCUUUGGCCUCCAGCCUCAGUUAUACCAACAACCCACACUGGGCCAAAACCGCACCAGGUGUCACGUACAAUGUGCAUCGCCUCUCUGCUCCGAGCGUGGGAUCUGUGGGUGCUCCUGCCCUGGUUUCUUCCACCAAAAAACAGAGUGCAGCUGGGAAAAUCCCCAAAAUCCUCACUCAGAAGAGAUUUGGAAGAAUUAGGAGAAAGAGUAAAGGAAGGUUUAGCUUUAAAAAAAAUUAAAAAGUAGAUCACUUUGUUCCAGAGCAACUGAACUUACCCCUUUUUUUUGUUGUUGUUGUUGUUUUAGGUACUUCAG